GCGGCGGACGGGUGAGUAACGCGUGGGUAACCUACCCCAAAGUCCGGGAUAACAGCGGGAAACCGCUGCUAAUACCGGAUGUCUUUACCUUGGGGCAUCUUGAGGUAAAGAAAGGUAACGCUUUGGGAUGGGCCCGCGUCCCAUUAGCUAGUUGGUGAGGUAACGGCUCACCAAGGCGACGAUGGGUAGCCGGCCUGAGAGGGUGGACGGCCACACUGGGACUGAGACACGGCCCAGACUCCUACGGGAGGCAGCAGUAGGGAAUAUUGCGCAAUGGACGGAAGUCUGACGCAGCGACGCCGCGUGAGCGAUGAAGGUCUUCGGAUCGUAAAGCUCUGUCCUUGGGGAAGAAGGCGAAAGCUUGACGGUACCCAAGAAGAAAGCCCCGGCUAACUACGUGCCAGCAGCCGCGGUAAUACGUAGGGGGCGAGCGUUGUCCGGAAUUACUGGGCGUAAAGGGUGCGUAGGCGGCCCUUUAAGUCGGAUGUGAAAGCCCGCG
This 499-nucleotide ribosomal RNA is filed under the name uncultured bacterium. RNAcentral's name for it is "bacterial SSU rRNA". It matches the Rfam family "Bacterial small subunit ribosomal RNA", at positions 95 to 606 of the family's 1533-position model. The record is from RNAcentral.